This 276-nucleotide unclassified non-coding RNA is filed under the name uncultured fungus. RNAcentral's name for it is "sequence contains ITS1". The stretch from base 1 to 97 matches the Rfam family "5.8S ribosomal RNA", at positions 50 to 154 of the family's 154-position model. Lineage: Eukaryota; Fungi. The record is from RNAcentral.
AAACUGCGAUAAGCAAUGCGAAACACAGUCCUUCGUGAGUCAUCGGGUUCUUGAACGCACAUUGCAGGUCUUCGGACCUACGUCUGGUUGAGGGUCAUUAUUACUCUGCUCUAAGCAGGAAGCGGACAGGCUUACGGCUUGUCUUGGAAGCAAAGGUGACUUGUACCGAUACCGUUUGGUGGACAACUGGCGGGCAAAGGUAACAAGCGAGAGGCUAUAGCAGUCGCUCAUUCAUUCUUUGACCUCAACUCAGGCGAGACCACCCGCUGAACUUAA